AUGAAACUUAAAGGAAUUGGCGGGGGAGCACUACAACCGGAGGAGCCUGCGGUUUAAUUGGACUCAACGCCGGACAUCUCACCAGCCCCGACAUCAGUAAUGACAGUCAUGUUGACGACAUCCGCCCGAGCUGAUGAGAGGAGGUGCAUGGCCGCCGUCAGCUCGUACCGUGAGGCAUCCUGUUAAGUCAGGCAACGAGCGAGAUCCACAUCCCUAAUUGCCAGCACCAUCGCACGAUGGGUGGGUACAUUAGGGAGACUGCCAGUGCUAAACUGGAGGAAGGAAUGGGCAACGGUAGGUCAGUAUGCCCCGAAUGGGCUGGGCAACACGCGGGCUACAAUGGCGAGGACAACGGGUUCCAACACUGAAAAGUGACGGUAAUCUCGCAAACCUCGUCGUAGUUCGGAUUGCGGGCUGAAACUCGCCCGCAUGAAGCUGGAUUCGGUAGUAAUCGCGUUUCAGAAGAGCGCGGUGAAUACGUCCCUGCUCCUUGCACACACCGCCCGUCAAAGCACCCGAGUGAGGUCCGGAUGAGGCCACAUCACUGUGGUCGAAUCUGGGCUUCGCAAGGGGGCUUAAGUCGUAACAAGGUAGCCGUA
RNAcentral lists this ribosomal RNA (599 nucleotides) under uncultured archaeon. RNAcentral's name for it is "bacterial SSU rRNA". It matches the Rfam family "Archaeal small subunit ribosomal RNA", at positions 849 to 1451 of the family's 1478-position model. The record is from RNAcentral.